UUUAAUUUAAACAAAUCAAUUGAGGGAUGAAGUGAACUAGACAGACCUCUCGUCCAGAGGAGUGACGAGAGGACCUUUGUUAGCCGUGAUUUCGGCAUCGCUAACGACCCCAACAACCAAUUUAGCCUUGGAGAAAGCUCGACGGUUGACGGCAGCUCCGACGGCGGUGGAGGAGGUUUAGAGCGAGAGCGUUGGCGCUGCUUGAGGUAGAGUUGGAAGAAUUAGAAGAGAGCACAGGGUAUGACUAAAAUUUUAGAAGAAUUUUUCAUAGGGUUAUAUUUAGGGAAUAAUUGGGGGAAUAUUGAAUUGGGAAAACGUACAAAGCUUGAGAGAGACAGAAGCAGAGGGACGACGACGACGGUGGAAGAGAGGGACGGUGACGGGGAAGAGAGGCCACAAUCGAGAGGCAGGAGGCUAAGGAGUGAGGAAUUUCAGAUCUGGCGUACAGAGAUAGGAGAGAGAAGAAAGUAUGGUCGUGUUUUAAUUUCAAAUUUUGUCUUCCGCGUUUUUAUC
This 513-nucleotide long non-coding RNA is filed under the name Panax ginseng (ginseng). RNAcentral's name for it is "long non-coding RNA (PGIN_LNC003023)". The record is from RNAcentral. Lineage: Eukaryota; Viridiplantae; Streptophyta; Magnoliopsida; Apiales; Araliaceae.